Molecule: ribosomal RNA, 117 nt
Filed under: Ipomoea nil (Japanese morning glory)
Lineage: Eukaryota; Viridiplantae; Streptophyta; Magnoliopsida; Solanales; Convolvulaceae
Source: RNAcentral
GGAUGCGAUCAUACCAGCACUAAUGCACCGGAUCCAUCAGAACUCCGAAGUUAAGCGUGCUUGGGCGAGAGUAGUACUAGGAUGGUGACCCCCUGGGAAGUCCUCGUGUUGCAUCCC